GCUUUUUUUGUUUGCCCAGCAAAGCUGGCAAACCCGUCCACUUUAAAGAUAGUGGAGUCACCCUGACUAAGGGGAAGACAAUCUGAAUGGCAAGGGCGCCACUGGCCAACGGUGAGGUCUGAAGGAAGCCAUAAGAAGUUAGAUGUACACAACUAACCGUAACCUGUUUCGGCGGGAUUGGUGGGUAAGCGUCCAAAAUAGCGCGAAGCCCAAUACUUAGUCAGACCAAUUCUGUGCUUGAGGGUGGCAUAUCUAACAGGGAGUCAGUGCAAUAACUGGGGAAGCCUGGCAUCUAAACUUAAUUGUCAGUAAGUGG
RNAcentral lists this unclassified non-coding RNA (316 nucleotides) under Aliivibrio wodanis. Lineage: Bacteria; Pseudomonadati; Pseudomonadota; Gammaproteobacteria; Vibrionales; Vibrionaceae. The record is from RNAcentral.